AUUCCAUGAUGAGGGAACUUCUGUAAUAGUUCUUUGUACAUUUCUCAUGCCUCAUACAAAGGCUCAUCAUCUAUUUUUUGGAAAGCAAUGAUCUCAUUCCUCAACCU
Small nucleolar RNA from Gossypium arboreum, 107 nucleotides. It matches the Rfam family "Plant small nucleolar RNA R71". From Rfam's summary of the family: R71 is a member of the C/D box family of snoRNAs containing the C (UGAUGA) and D (CUGA) box motifs. NCBI's taxonomy places the organism in Eukaryota, Viridiplantae, Streptophyta, Magnoliopsida, Malvales, Malvaceae. The record is from Rfam.